UUCUCUUAAUUGCGUUUUUCUCUUUUAAACUGUUCUUUCUUGUGAGCUUGUUUUUAGGGAAAUUCUUUCAAAUUUAGUCUCUUGUCUCUAGAGAAAGGAAUGGAAAAUUAAUGUGAUAAUUACAGAUAUGAGUGCAAACGGUAUGGUGAUAGAAAGUUUAUUUAAAAGAAAUAUGUCAUGCAUUUAUUGGUUUGGCGCAAACAUAGGUGCUCAUAACUUUUUUCCCGUGAUAUAUUGUCGAGAGAAGUGCCUUCGCUUGUUUCUCAAAUAAGUACAUUGCAACAUCGUUUAUUGAGAUUAGUCAUGGAGGGAUUACUUUCGAUUUUGGACUCCAGUUGAACUGAACUUUAAGUGAGCUUUCUAUCUAAGCCAUGGUUUAGCUACUGAUAUGUCUGAGAAACAUGACUCUCACCUGUAUCCGAUCUCACAUAUAGGCAAAUCCCUGUAACCAACCUCAUAUACUGAGGGAACAUAGAAGUAAGCUUCUUAGUUUCUUCAUUAAACGCAUAGUUGGUGGCAUCAUGAGGGAAAAUAACUGCUGGAAUUCCGUAUUCCUUCAGCCGAUGUCACGAGGCUUUUGCAUUUCUCCUACGAAUCUAUAGUUAAGUAGGGAUGAGUGAGCUGCUGACUUUGCCGGCAUUUGGCAAAAUAAUAACAGAGAAAAAAAAGCUCAUGACUGGGCAUCCUUAGAUAAUUACCGGAAAAUGAAGCAUCCUCGAGAAAUGAAUCGAUGGUGUUCCCUAAGAGCAAACGAAAAUUUUGAUAUGAAAGAUUUUUUGUGUAUGACAUUUGAGAAGGCAAAUUCGUAAAAAAUCUCUAUGAAUUAAUCAAACCAUCCAGCUAAGCACCUUAACCGGCUUUCCUCUCUAGAACAAGAUGUGUGAGGAAAUGACUCUUUGCUGUAAGCGUAAAUGAAAUAGCGGGAAAUAGAUUAUGAACAGAAUGAUACCACGGAGAUCUCAAUUUUUUCUCUUAGUCCAACACAAAAUCGCAGCUUGACAAACUUUUAAUAAGUCUUAUUACCUCCCACAUGUUAGUGUUUUGCUUAUCAAGUUUUGGGCCAAUACUCUAUUCUUUCGCAUAAAUUUUUAUUUUCCCCACCGUUCUCAAGCUGAGCUAGAUGGAUUAGUUUCUUUGCUGCAAUCAUCACUUGUUUAAUUGCAGACAAAGAAUUGUUGGAGUGGGCAUAAACUUUGUUGAAUUACAUCCUCUUUCUUUCCUUUAUUGCAUUCUUGGAUUUCAAAGCACAAGAAAUUUCUUAUGUAAAAAUGUAGAAAACAUGCUCUGUGUCUUGUCCUACUUUGUUACUACAAUAAGUGCACAACCAACAUCCUAUCAUGCCAUGGAUCCGAAAAGCUGAAGCUUUACUCUUGAAUAGGAACUUAUUUCCUGAAAAUAUAGGUAUUGUGCUAGGAUAUGGGUUCUUUCUCCUUUUUAUUAUACUCUAGUGUUAUCCUCGUGUUUCCUAUUUUUAGAUUGAUAUUAGUACCUGAUGUUUCCUUUGCUUCCUUUUUAUUUUUUCUGGUUGUUGCUACUAUCUCGCUUUUCAUAGUCUUUUCUCUUUUGUCAUAACUGCUGUGUUUUUGCUUUAUUGAGCCGAAGGUCAUCCAACGACAACCUCUCUACUUUCACAAGGUAGGGGUAAGGUUUGCGUACAUAUUACCCUCCCCAGACCCCACUUGUAGGAAUACACUGAGUAUGUUGCUCUAGGACAAAAUGGUCAUAUAGCUUUUAAAGGAUAUUUCUGUAAGUUAACUUUGGACUUAGUAGGUUCCUACUUGUAGUAUAGUAUGAUAAUGUUGUGCAUUACAAGUAUGAAAAGCAUUUUACCGACGAAAGUAAUUACAAGAUCCACCUUCAAGUUUCUGCACUGGUGAAACUAUUAAAUUGAAAUUGAUGCAAUAAAUUAAAAUAAGUUCCAAUUUUGUUCAAAUAUUGAUGAGUGUCAAUCUGCUUUGAUAUGUGUGAGCUGAGACUAUUUAAGGAAUACCUACCCUAACCAAAACAAAAUAUGUUUACUAAUUUGCAAUUUGCUUGGAGAAACCAUUUGCUUAUUUUUAUUGAUUUAGUUCUGAUUGAGAUCUCUCCAUGGACUUUCUCUCUUCUCGUCUUCUUUUUACAUGUGUCUGGGACUUCUUCCCCUUUUUAAAAUUAGUCCCUGCAAAGCAGUAUUGAAGGAGGAAGCAAAUGGCUGGUGAACAAGAUUAAAGGUUAGUCUUCCUCCUCAUUAUCUUUUAGCUCCUUUUGUCUUCUGUAAACUUUUACGUCUAACCCUGAAGCUGUCUGAACACUAGCAUGCUAGUACCCCAUCCCCCUAGUGAACAUUAGGCUGGCACAGGAACAGAGAAAUAAAAUGCUCACCUUUUACUUCUUUUUGCAGUCUUGUCUCAUGAUGUAUAGGAUAGUUGAUUGUGGAUAUUCAGGCUGCCGAGUAAACUAGCUUAUGAUAAACCAUGUUGAAUGUCCCCAAAAAAACACAAUCAAUUUCUAGUUUUUUCUCAGAAAAAUCUAUUCUUUCUUGAAAUGAAAAAGAGGCUAAAGCUGUUUAGCUGGAUGGUUGGAAUACAACAACAAAAAAAGCCAGUGUAAUCCCACAAGUUGGGUUACCUUGAUGGUUUGAAUAAUUUAAUACUAUUUUGUAAAUGUUUGAUUUCUUAAAAGGUAUACCCAAAUAUUUUCUCAUAUCGAAUUCUUCACUUACUCGUAGAAACAACAUCGAUUAAUUUUGUUGAAGAUGCUGUCAUUUUAUCGAUGAUAAUCUAUGGACGCUCGUCAGUAUGAGUCUUGAGCUAGCUCUCUCUCUCUCUCUCUCUCUCUCUCUCUCUUAUUCCUUUGCCAAAAUAGUCAGGAGCUAUCUUAUCCCUGCUUUGCAUCGGAUUUGCAGGAAAAAUGCAAAAGCCAUUGCCAGAACUGCUAAAGGAGUAUGACCUUCCAGUAGGCAUUUUCCCUCGUGAUGCCACCAACUAUGAGUUCAAUGAAGAAACCAAGAAGCUUACUGUCUAUAUUCCCUCAGUAUGUGAAGUUGGUUACAG
This 3032-nucleotide long non-coding RNA is filed under the name Nicotiana tabacum (common tobacco). RNAcentral describes it as "long non-coding RNA (NTAB_LNC005693)". The record is from RNAcentral. Lineage: Eukaryota; Viridiplantae; Streptophyta; Magnoliopsida; Solanales; Solanaceae.